This 253-nucleotide ribosomal RNA is filed under the name uncultured bacterium. RNAcentral describes it as "partial 16S ribosomal RNA". It matches the Rfam family "Bacterial small subunit ribosomal RNA", at positions 524 to 776 of the family's 1533-position model. The record is from RNAcentral.
UACGGAGGGUGCGAGCGUUACCCGGAAUCACUGGGCGUAAAGGGCGUGUAGGCGGGAACAUAAGUCUGACUUCAAAGGCUGCGGCUCAACCGCAGUAGGGGGUUGGAUACUGUGUUUCUAGACCUCUGGAGAGGCAACUGGAAUUCUUGGUGUAGCGGUGGAAUGCGUAGAUACCAAGAGGAACACCGAUGGCGAAGGCAGGUUGCUGGACAGAAGGUGACGCUGAGGCGCGAAAGUGUGGGGAGCGAACCGG